GUGGUGGUAGGUGAGGACCUUCCACUUCGCCUCGUUGCCGUGCUUGUUGAUGACGUCGGUGACGAAGCCGAUGUGCGCCGCGUCGCCGCCGCC
Molecule: transfer RNA, 93 nt
Filed under: Planotetraspora silvatica
Lineage: Bacteria; Bacillati; Actinomycetota; Actinomycetes; Streptosporangiales; Streptosporangiaceae
Description: tRNA-Asn
Source: RNAcentral